This 254-nucleotide ribosomal RNA is filed under the name uncultured bacterium. Its description in RNAcentral is "partial 16S ribosomal RNA". It matches the Rfam family "Bacterial small subunit ribosomal RNA", at positions 524 to 776 of the family's 1533-position model. The record is from RNAcentral.
CACGUAGGGAGCAAGCGUUGUCCGGAUUUAUUGGGCGUAAAGAGCUCGUAGGCUGUUCGAUAAGUCGGGUGUGAAACCUCCAGGCUCAACCUGGAGACGCCACCCGAUACUGUCAUGACUAGAGUCCGGUAGGGGAGCGUGGAAUUCCUGGUGUAGCGGUGAAAUGCGCAGAUAUCAGGAGGAACACCGGUGGCGAAGGCGGCAUCCUGGACCGGUAUUGACGCUGAGGCGCGAAAGCUAGGGGAGCAAACGGG